RNAcentral lists this ribosomal RNA (483 nucleotides) under uncultured bacterium. RNAcentral's name for it is "partial 16S ribosomal RNA". It matches the Rfam family "Bacterial small subunit ribosomal RNA", at positions 30 to 506 of the family's 1533-position model. The record is from RNAcentral.
AUUGAACGCUGGCGGCAGGCCUAACACAUGCAAGUCGGGCGGUUGCAGGGAGCUUGUUCCUGGAUUCAUCGCCGGACGCGUGCGUAAUGCCUAGGACUCGGCCUGGUAGUGGGGGAUAACGUCCGGUAACGGGCGCUAAUACCGCAUCCGCCUUGCGGGACAAAGUGGAGGAUCUUCACCCCUCACGCUCUCACAUUCGCCUAGGGCGGAUUAGCUAGUUGGUGGGGUAAAGGUCUACCAGGGCAACGAUCCGUAACUGGUCCUAGAGGGUGAUCAGUCACACUGGAACUGAGACACGGUCCAGACUCCUACGGGAGGCAGCAGUGGGGAAUACUGAAAAAUGGGCGAAAGCCUGAUCCAGCCAGGCCGCGUGUGUGAAGAAGGUCUUCGGAUUGUAAAGCACUUUAAGUUGGGGGGAAGGGGAGUAGGUUAAUACCUUGCUGUUUGGACUUUACCGACAGAAUAAGCACGGGCAAACCUCGU